ACGCGGAGCCCGCGCAGGCGUCGCUCUGCGCAGGCGCGGGGUGGGCGCAGGAGCGUGGGGUUUUUUUUGGGACCGCGCCGCUCGCGCAGCUGAGGGGAGCUCCGGCCGGGCGGACGCGAGGUGAAGCAUCCGUAACAGCGUUCCUGGUGUUGUGCCGCCGUCACCACCAAGCCUCUGGAACCUUCUCAUCUUCUUACACUGAGACUGUCCCCACUGAACACAGACGCCCCCAGCCCCGCCCCCACCGUCUGCUUCCUGUGUCUGUGAACCUGACUCCUCCAGGUCCCCAUAUAAGUGGAAUCACGGGGUUUGUCUGUGUCUGGCACCGCCCUGAGCAUCACGUCCUCGUGGGUCAUCCACUCAGCAUAUCAGGACUUUCGCGGCUAAGUGAUGUUCUGUUCCAUGGAUGGACCACGUUUCAUCCAUCGAUGGACACUGGGUUGCUUCUGCCUUUUGACCAUUGUGAAUAACGCUGCCAUGCAGUUGGAUUUUCUUAUCAGACAAUCACUCUCAGCUCUUGAGCUGCCAAACACAGGUGUGCAGGGCUAGGUCUGGGCCCUGGCUUGUAGACCAUGCUCUGAAACAUAAUGGUCCCAAGUCACAUCCUGAGCCCAGCUUUGCAUCACCUUGCUUGGCCUCUCAGGACCCAGGAACUGCCCAGGCUGCCCAGUCAUCCCCAUCUAGAGAGACUGGAUCUGGGUGGAGUGACCCCAAGCUGAGGGCUGGCUGUGUUCGCAGGGAGGACAGUCCAGUCCCCAGUUGGGCUGGACCACGUCCCAGGCGUAGCUGCAAGGGGCGCCCCCCUCCCACUUUCUUCUUGACCUUUUCUUCUCCAGGGCGAUAGUUUCUGUGCAAAAGUCUUCCUUUUUAUUAAGAAAUGCUUAAUGCACGUAAAAGAAUACAGGUUCAUGUGGUCACUUGGAGCACCAGAAAAUGAA
Molecule: long non-coding RNA, 938 nt
Organism: Camelus dromedarius (Arabian camel)
Lineage: Eukaryota; Metazoa; Chordata; Mammalia; Artiodactyla; Camelidae
Exons: 2
Source: RefSeq, a predicted model, not a curated record